Molecule: transfer RNA, 60 nt
Filed under: Ostreococcus mediterraneus
Lineage: Eukaryota; Viridiplantae; Chlorophyta; Mamiellophyceae; Mamiellales; Bathycoccaceae
Source: RNAcentral
CGAUAGAACGCGUCGAAAACUCACGCACGUCAGUGACGCGAGUACGCGAACACGCGAGUA